AUUGAACGCUGGCGGCAGGCCUAACACAUGCAAGUCGAGCGGAUGACGGGAGCUUGCUCCUUGAUUCAGCGGCGGACGGGUGAGUAAUGCCUAGGAAUCUGCCUGGUAGUGGGGGACAACGUUUCGAAAGGAACGCUAAUACCGCAUACGUCCUACGGGAGAAAGCAGGGGACCUUCGGGCCUUGCGCUAUCAGAUGAGCCUAGGUCGGAUUAGCCAGUUGGUGGGGUAAUGGCUCACCAAGGCGACGAUCCGUAACUGGUCUGAAAGGAUGAUCAGUCACACUGGAACUGAGACACGGUCCAGACUCCUACGGGAGGCAGCAGUGGGGAAUAUUGGACAAUGGGCGAAAGCCUGAUCCAGCCAUGCCGCGUGUGUGAAGAAGGUCUUCGGAUUGUAAAGCACUUUAAGUUGGGAGGAAGGGCAGUAAGCUAAUACCUUGCUGUUUUGACGUUACCGACAGAAUAAGCACCGGCUAACUCUGUGCCAGCAGCCGCCGCGG
Molecule: ribosomal RNA, 500 nt
Filed under: uncultured bacterium
Lineage: Bacteria
Description: partial 16S ribosomal RNA
Rfam family: Bacterial small subunit ribosomal RNA
Source: RNAcentral